This 571-nucleotide ribosomal RNA is filed under the name uncultured delta proteobacterium. Its description in RNAcentral is "bacterial SSU rRNA". It matches the Rfam family "Bacterial small subunit ribosomal RNA", at positions 97 to 647 of the family's 1533-position model. Lineage: Bacteria; Deltaproteobacteria. The record is from RNAcentral.
GGCGUACGGGUGAGUAACACGUAGGUAACCUACCCUCGAGUGGUGGAUAACCCUCCGAAAGGAGAGCUAAUACAGCAUGAGACCACGGCAUCACGGUGCUGUGGCCAAAGUGGGCCUCUCUAUAGAAGCUCGCGCUUGAGGACGGGCCUGCGGCCCAUCAGCUUGUUGGUGAGGUAACGGCUUACCAAGGCAAAGACGGGUAGCUGGUCUGAGAGGAUGAACAGCCACACUGGAACUGAGACGCGGUCCAGACUCCUACGGGAGGCAGCAGUGGGGAAUCUUGCGCAAUGGGGGAAACCCUGACGCAGCGACGCCGCGUGAGCGAUGAAGGCCCUCGGGUUGUAAAGCUCUGUGGGGAGGGAAGAAUAAGCCUGGGUUAAUACCUCCAGGUGAUGACGGUACCUCCUUAGCAAGCACCGGCUAACUCUGUGCCAGCAGCCGCGGUAAGACAGAGGGUGCAAACGUUGUUCGGAAUUACUGGGCGUAAAGCGCAUGUAGGCGGCUAUGCAAGUCGGGCGUGAAAGCCCACGGCUCAACCGUGGAAGUGCACUCGAAACUGCGUAGCUAGAGU